Molecule: ribosomal RNA, 465 nt
Filed under: uncultured bacterium
Lineage: Bacteria
Description: partial 16S ribosomal RNA
Rfam family: Bacterial small subunit ribosomal RNA
Source: RNAcentral
GAUGAACGCUGGCGGCGUGCUUAACACAUGCAAGUCGAACGGAAAGGCUCCUGCUUGCAGGGGUACUCGAGUGGCGAACGGGUGAGUAACACGUGGGUGAUCUGCCCUGCACUUCGGGAUAAGCCUGGGAAACUGGGUCUAAUACCGGAUAGGACCACAUUUUGGAUGGUGUGGUGGAGAGUUUUUCGGUGUGGGAUGAGCUCGCGGCCUAUCAGCUUGUUGGUGGGGUAAUGGCCUACCAAGGCGUCGACGGGUAGCCGGCCUGAGAGGGUGUACGGCCACAUUGGGACUGAGAUACGGCCCAGACUCCUACGGGAGGCAGCAGUGGGGAAUAUUGCACAAUGGGCGCAAGCCUGAUGCAGCGACGCCGCGUGGGGGAUGACGGCCUUCGGGUUGUAAACUGCUUUCGCUAGGGACGAAGCGCGAGUGACGGUACCUGGAGAAGAAGCACCGGCUAACUACGUG